GGUACUGCUACCUAGUGGGUCUUGGGGACCUUCGAAAUCGCCGCCGCUCUCACAAUGGCUUGGGUCCAGACUGCGCCACAGCCUCUCGGGAGACGUGGGCCCUCGGAACCUUUUUAGUGCCGGACUCCGGGCCGCAGGCAGUCCCGCGGCAGCAGGAUCACAGAACCUCUGGAUGGACUCUUCCUGGGAAGCUUUGCUACUUUGCAGCAGCUGGACCAUGUUCCUCAUUAACAUCUGUCUGUCCGCUUAGUCAUCACAUCAUUUCACUGUGGUAAGGUGACUUUUUCACCAUGUAUGGCAUCUUAGCUCUGUCAUCUCACAGGUGUUAAGAUCAGCCACAGGUGUGGUGAGACGUUUGACUUUAUCCUUCUUUUUUCAUUGGCAUGUUUGUCACCCACUGGCUCUUGCAUGUGUGUUUCAACCUUGUAAACAAGCCGUUCAAUUCUGUGUGCCUGCCAGAAGAACAGCAUUGGUGCUGCUCACCAUAAGAAAAUGCCCUUUGUUAUUUUAUUAGGUGGCAGGGACUCAGCUCGGAAUUCUGUAUAGAAAAAGCACCUGGAUC
This 562-nucleotide long non-coding RNA is filed under the name Homo sapiens (human). RNAcentral's name for it is "non-protein coding lnc-NOP16-2:6". The record is from RNAcentral. Lineage: Eukaryota; Metazoa; Chordata; Mammalia; Primates; Hominidae.